AUGGAAAUAUUCUCUGCAUCCGGAGUGCUAACUGUGACCGAUGAGGAUCACCAGAACCACGAGUGUGGGUCUCUGGAAGGAUCUGCUCAUUUACCGACAAAAGGCACAGAUGAAAGGAAAAGAAGAACGACAGAGAAGCAGAAGAACAGAAAGCAAGAGGAAGAUGUUACAAAGCAGAAGAGCAAAGAUGGAUGUGGAGAAAAAGAGGUGAAGGAUGUAAGAAAUGCUGAAGAAAUGCGUACUACCGAUGCACAAACAGAUGGAACCGACAUGUCCGAGGGUGCCGAGGGGUCAUCAAACGCAGCAGGGGAGACCAGUGCCCCUGAAACAGAAAUAAGAGAUAAAGGAGAGCGAGAAUUGACAGAUGGAGUGAAAGAGGGAGGACAGACAGCAGAAAGUCCAGAAACACAGAUACAGGCUCUCAAAACCACUGAUAGGACUCAGAAGAGCCUCUCUCUGCAGGUCAAUGACUUCAUGGACACCGAGCCGCCUCUGGCUGUUUGUGAGUUUUCAAACUCCUCAAAAAAUCUGCCGCAGAUAAUCACCGACAAGCAUGCAGACUGUAACCGUCCAGGCAGGGAGCGCACAGUCGAUGGAAAAGUCAACGGAUUUGGUUUGGAUGAACACCAAAGUGUCAGCAGCGUGCCAGAACCUGAUGCUGAAGCUGCACACCCUGACUCACCUGUCGAGGUUCAAACUGUGCAUCAGGACCCCGAGCGCUCAGACCUGGAACACGAGAAAACAUCCACGGAAAUGUCCGGUUAUUUUCCCGCUGAAGGGCCAAGCCCAUGCACCUCUCAAACUCCGCAAAGCCACAACAUCCAAGAGAGCGAAACGAACCCAACUCAGACUGAACAUUGUGAUCCUCGUGCUGUUGUCGCCGUGGAGACAACAAAGGAAAUGUUUGGCGCGGAUGAGGAGAGCGUUUCAGUGACAAACAUGGCCGAAGCUCAAAGUCUCGAAGCCUCAGAGAAGCAGGAACGCGUGCAGCUCAGGUCUGUGGUGGAUGAAGAUGGAAGGAGUGAAAGCAGCACCUGUGAGUCUGCAGAGAGAGCUGCAGCAAAGGAGGACGUGGAGGAGCAAAGCAAAACUGAUCAAGGCUCAGGAGGUGGAGAGGGUACCAAAAAUGAUGCUGAUCCAAAGAUUUCCCAUCAGCAAAGUGGUGAAACCGCUGAAUCAUCAGAACCUGGAAGAUCGAAGAAUCAACCCCUAAAGCAGAAGAGACCUACCGAUUCUGCUGAGUUGUCGCAGAUCUCCAGGUCACUGUUUGACUGGACCGCUCAGAGGAAAACGUUCAGUGACUUCUCCGUCCUGCACGAGUUUACUCAGGGAACUCAUCUGUCUGGACGUCCGCUCGAUUCAGCCCCCGUGUUCUCCAAAACCAAACACGACAAAGCUCAGCAAAUGAUCACCAAGGCGUCGGACCUGUUCAGCACCUUCGGUGUCUCCGCGGCUGCAAGUCUCUCAAAGAGUCAACGGCGGGGGAGAGGAGUGAUGGAAGAGACCUGCAGAGAAACGGCAGAGAAGGUCAGUGCUUCUGAAGGGUAAAAGCUGCACAGACACACGUGCCGUGGUGUCUUUAUUAUAAAAAAACAACCCUGAGUUACUACAGCUGAGAUUAGAGAGUAAGCAGCAGCCUUGUGCUGCUAACUGAUCACCAGUAAGUCUGAGCUCCCAACUGUGCUGGUCUGGAGCAUACAGGUGUGUGUAAACUCAGUCAGAAGGUGGGAACUGCUCAUCCAUUAGGAAGAAAGGUCAUUUUCGAAAAAAUCUGGACUUAAUUCCAACAGCAGGUCUGGAUGUCCCAGCAAAUUCCAGGUCUAAACCUCCAGGUCAGAGGUCACUGUUCAGGGAAAGGACCGAAAACACCUCAAAAAGUCCAUCUGACGCCGGGCCGCUGAAGCGCCGCGAAAUUGGGGCCGCCUUCAUUCGGCGCCCUUGUUAUCCUACUCUAUAGACCACAUGGGCCGCCGAAGCGCCGUGCGCUCCAGCCCACGCCGUGCAGCGAUCGUUUCGGCGUCGGCUCUAUUUUUUCCGCGAGCCGCGGGUGAACCUUGUCGAUUCUGUCAGGAAGUCAAACCUAGACAUAAGAGGCAGGCCGGUAAAUUUAACAAAAUAAAGCAUUUCUAAAUACGAUUCUGCGAUAGUCCAAUGUGUUCAUAAACAGACGCUGCACACACACACACACACACACACACACACACACACACAGCGAACUUGUGUGUGUGUGACCACGUGAAGGGGGUGUGGUUUUGGGUGUCUUGCAACCGGAGCAAACAGGACAGAGAGGCAGAAAGUCGUAGGCCAGCUAUUAAUAACUGGUACACACCAGAGGUUCACACACACACACACACACACACACACACACACACACACACACACACACACACACACACACACACACACAAACAGAAAGGGGGAGGGAGGGGGGGGGUGUCGAGGAAAAGAGCAGAGAAAAGGCUGAGAGGAAAUGGACGACACCAAGUGGUUAAAAGAAAAACUACGAGGCGCGCCUCGACCGGAGCGAAGAAACAAGCGUCUGGUCUGAACUGAGGAGCAGCGGCCGAAUUUCGUGAGCGCUUCGCCUCCCGGCGCUUCAGCGGCCGGUGUAUCCCCGGCGUUAGAGUUUGCUGGACUCAGUUAGCAGGGGUAAGGUUAAAGUUCAUGACAGCAUGGUAUGGUUGCACUACUGGAGGCCAGUUCUUAAAGCUUUAGGUCAUUCUUUUUGUGUUGUUCCUCUAAACGGGAAUAAAAUGAAAUGUGAAGUUAGGAUGAUUUUUAAAAGGUUCCUUCACUUGUUUUUUCACCAACUCUGCUGGUGGUCUCUAGCUUGAGUGAAUGCCUUGUGAGUCGUUUCCUUUGGAAAAAAGCUCGGGCCCACCUGUUUCAUUUUUUGGAGGAGUGGGAGGGUUAACAGGAUUAUGAGUCUUACUCAUUAAUAUUCAUGAUACGCAACAUCUAGCCUCUGAUUGGCUAACAGCAACAAGACUCUUCCACUGCCUUCAUUCGCAACGAUGAUGUUUUAUCUCAAUAAAAAACACGUGCUUCAGCGUGUUGCGCCAUGUUGUGGAGUUGCAAAUGCUAACGGUUAGCUUCUGCUAGCUGAGACGCUCUGCUCCCUCCAUCCCGUAGAAGGGGCCAUGAGUAUUCCUUUUCCCAGUGACGUAGAAGAGGCUGGCCUUUUCUUACCCAAUAGUUUUCCCGUCUGUUUCCCUUUUGCGGCUGAUGGAGGCGAGGGGGGUUUGAAGAAAACGUUCACGUUCAGCGUGCGUGUGAAACAAUCUCAUUUCAGAAAGAACGUGUUUUACAGUUUCUCAGGGAAACAUAUUUUUAAGAAUGUUUUUUCUUUUUUGCAAAGCCCAAACAAACAUGUUAAACAGAAUUCUCAGUCGUUAGUUGAUAGCUAGGCUUAAAACAUUUUUAUUUGAUAGGGCCUAUGGUUAAAAUCUGAUGUUAGCCCAGAUCUGGACAAGAGGGGGAGUAGAGGGAGGUGGAGUGUACAGUCGGUAAAGACGGCUCUCCUUUGCCCUGCCUCCAACAUGCCUCCAUCUAAAUAGGAUAGAUUAUCCAGAGUUAUCUCUGUAGUUAUGCUGCUAUAGGCUUAGACUGCUGGAGGAUACACUGACCACUUUUCACACUCGACUGCUUUCUUCUACAAUCUGCUCUUUAACUGUAUUAUUUCCUGCUAUUUCAGCUAUAAACUUUAUUUUCUCUCUAAGUGUUUUCUCCCCAGAAGAAGCUACAAUGAUGUUCUGCUGAGCUGUGGUGGCCUCAUGGAGGGGGCCGUCGUCUAGCACACUGCUGUUAACCACUUAAACAUUCUCCCUCUCCUGAUAAUAACUUUUUGUUUUCAUUGACUUUUGAUGUGCUACUACUAGUUUACCCGUUUAAUUAUAGAUUCACUAGGAUAAAUACAAUAAAGUUUAUCUCUCACCAAAUAGAAUAUUUACUAAGACAUCACAAUAUAACUAUAGACACAUUACUUGUCUUUGUGUGUGUGUGUGUGUGUGUGUGUGUGCGUGUGUGUGUGCGUGUGUGCGUGUGUGCGUGUGUGUGUGUGUGUGUGUGUGUGUGUGUGUGUGUGUGUGGNNNNNNNNNNNNNNNNNNNNNNNNNNNNNNNNNNNNNNNNNNNNNNNNNNNNNNNNUGGAGGUUUCUUCCUGUUAAAAGGGAGUUUUCCUCUCCACUGUCGCUAUAUGCUUGCUUAGUAUGAGGAUUGCUGUAAAGUCACUGACACUCGUCAGUGACUCGAUGCAAUUUGCUGGGGUCCUUAUAUAGGAAACAUUAUUUCUGAUUGGCUUAAUGAACUGACCUGGAUUGGAAUGUUUAUUAUGUGAAGUGCCUUGAGACGACUCUUGUCGUGAUUUGGCGCUAUAUAAAUAAACUUGAAUUGAAUUUGUUUUGAAUGUUCUCUUUGUCUGAGGCCUACUAGGUCCUGUGUUGAGUGAAAAAGCAUAGCUGAUCCACGUUGAGCUCAUAGUUGUCCUGUAACAGUCAGACAGGCAGAGAACGAAUGAUCUGUGGUUGAAAAUCCACCUAAUGAUGCUCGGGUACCGCUCCUCUCCCACUUACUCCAUCUCAAUCUGUCCCACUCUCCCCUCUCACUUCAUCAUUUGUCUCUCCACCCUUUUCUACCAUUUUCACUCUCAUUUUCUUUUGUCACUUUGCUGUCAUUCCAUGUUUUACACGAUCCAGGUGCUGGCAGUUGAGGGAGAAAAGCCCUGAUCCGAUAGUUGAACUAACGGCGGUGACGGCCGAAGCGUUUCAUUCUGUCUGCGGAGCGGAAACGCUGGGAGCGUCACGCAGAGUUCAGUCUGAGCCAGUCUGGCUCCUGUUACGUAUCAUUUGCCCCUGCGCUCGGCCCGAGCUCCAUCUGUUUAUCACAGUUACAUUUCCUCAAGAGGCACAGAAAAAUCCCCAAACCUUCAGCUGGUUUUCCACUACCAGCAGGCAGAACGCUGAGACGGCAGAAUCAGAGUUUUACUGUCUUUUGUUGUUGUCAUCCUCAGGACAGAACAUCUUCAGUGCUUUCCAUCUCCAGUUCUGCCAGUCAAGCCUCACAGCAACCCAGUUCAGAGUGAGUUCAGAGACACACACGAUGUUGAGAUGUCAUUUCAGCUGACGUUCAAAGACUCUAACAUUACACCAGAUUAGGUUUUAAAUAGUUUAAAAUUCAUUAUCGCCUGUAGAGCCACUGAGCUUUUAAAAAUACAUGACAUCAUUUCCUGUAGUUAGAUUUUUGGACAUUCAACAUGGCCGCCCUUUUAGCUCUGCUGUUGCAUCAUAUGUAAAUAUAUAACUAGUUUUUUCUUUUCUAAAUCUGAUGUAGCAGGACUUCCUGCUCACCUGUUGCUCCUGGGUCAGAGUUGGACCAGGAACCUUCCUGUUCCCUGGAGAGGGAUGACCAGCAGUCAUCACUGAGAGCACAGAUUUCCAAAAUCGAAGCGUUCCUCAACACAGAGAGGCUCCGACUGCCUAAAAGACGUCGGAUUGAGUCGCCAGACGUAUCCGGUUCUGUUCUAUGAAAUGACACAAGAGCCUACUGUUCCACAAGUUUGAUCAUUUUCAUUACCUUUAAACCCUCCAAAAGUUUCCCUUUUGUUAUAAAAAAGAUCUCAUGAUGACUGUGAGCUCUUCAGGUUUCUCUUCAGACUUCAGUUUGAGUCAGACUGACCCUUGGUUUAGAGUUCCUGUCCAUUUUGCAGCCUUACAGAUCAAAUAUGAGCUGUUGGGUGUGUGUGUGUGUGUGUGUGUGUGUGUGUGCGUGCGUGCGUGCGUGCGUGCGUGUGUGUGUGUGUGUGUGUGUGUGUGUGUGCGUG
Molecule: long non-coding RNA, 5817 nt
Organism: Nothobranchius furzeri (turquoise killifish)
Lineage: Eukaryota; Metazoa; Chordata; Actinopteri; Cyprinodontiformes; Nothobranchiidae
Source: Ensembl